Molecule: ribosomal RNA, 463 nt
Filed under: Micrococcus luteus
Lineage: Bacteria; Bacillati; Actinomycetota; Actinomycetes; Micrococcales; Micrococcaceae
Description: bacterial SSU rRNA
Rfam family: Bacterial small subunit ribosomal RNA
Source: RNAcentral
CGAUGAGCCCAGCUUGCUGGGUGGAUUAGUGGCGAACGGGUGAGUAACACGUGAGUAACCUGCCCUUAACUCUGGGAUAAGCCUGGGAAACUGGGUCUAAUACCGGAUAGGAGCGCCUACCGCAUGGUGGGUGUUGGAAAGAUUUAUCGGUUUUGGAUGGACUCGCGGCCUAUCAGCUUGUUGGUGAGGUAAUGGCUCACCAAGGCGACAACGGGUAGCCGGCCUGAGAGGGUGACCGGCCACACUGGGACUGAGACACGGCCCACACUCCUACGGGAGGCAGCAGUGGGGAAUAUUGCACAAUGGGCGCACGCCUGAUGCAGCGACGCCCGUGAGGGAUGACGGCCUUCGGGUUGUAAACCUCUUUCAGUAGGGAAGAAGCGAAAGUGACGGUACCUGCAGAAGAAGCACCGGCUAACUACGUGCCAGCAGCCGCGGUAAUACGUAGGGUGCGAGCGUUAUC